This 254-nucleotide ribosomal RNA is filed under the name uncultured bacterium. RNAcentral describes it as "partial 16S ribosomal RNA". It matches the Rfam family "Bacterial small subunit ribosomal RNA", at positions 524 to 776 of the family's 1533-position model. The record is from RNAcentral.
UACGAAGGGGGCUAGCGUUGUUCGGAUUUACUGGGCGUAAAGGGCGCGUAGGCGGUCGUGACAAGUCACUUGUGAAAUCUCCGGGCUUAACUCGGAACGGUCAAGUGAUACUGUCGGACUAGAGUACAGAAGGGGCAACUGGAAUUCUCGGUGUAGCGGUGAAAUGCGUAGAUAUCGAGAGGAACACCUGCGGCGAAGGCGGGUUGCUGGGCUGACACUGACGCUGAGGCGCGAAAGCUAGGGGAGCGAACGGG